GCCGUAGGGCGCGAGCGUUGUCCGGAAUUACUGGGCGUAAAGCGCACGUAGGCGGAUUGUUAAGUCGGGGGUGAAAUCCUGGAGCUCAACUCCAGAACUGCCUUCGAUACUGGCGAUCUCGAGUUCGGGAGAGGUGAGUGGAACUGCGAGUGUAGAGGUGAAAUUCGUAGAUAUUCGCAAGAACACCAGUGGCGAAGGCGGCUCACUGGCCCGAUACUGACGCUGAGGUGCGAAAGCGUGGGGAGCAAACAGG
Molecule: ribosomal RNA, 253 nt
Filed under: uncultured bacterium
Lineage: Bacteria
Description: partial 16S ribosomal RNA
Rfam family: Bacterial small subunit ribosomal RNA
Source: RNAcentral